RNAcentral lists this ribosomal RNA (525 nucleotides) under uncultured bacterium. RNAcentral's name for it is "bacterial SSU rRNA". It matches the Rfam family "Bacterial small subunit ribosomal RNA", at positions 984 to 1509 of the family's 1533-position model. The record is from RNAcentral.
ACAUCCAGCGAACUUGGCAGAGAUGCCUUGGUGCCUUCGGGAACGCUGAGACAGGUGCUGCAUGGCUGUCGUCAGCUCGUGUUGUGAAAUGUUGGGUUAAGUCCCGCAACGAGCGCAACCCUUAUCCUUUGUUGCCAGCGAUUCGGUCGGGAACUCAAAGGAGACUGCCGGUGAUAAACCGGAGGAAGGUGGGGAUGACGUCAAGUCAUCAUGGCCCUUACGAGUAGGGCUACACACGUGCUACAAUGGCGCAUACAAAGAGAAGCGACCUCGCGAGAGCAAGCGGACCUCAUAAAGUGCGUCGUAGUCCGGAUCGGAGUCUGCAACUCGACUCCGUGAAGUCGGAAUCGCUAGUAAUCGUGGAUCAGAGUGCCACGGUGAAUACGUUCCCGGGCCUUGUACACACCGCCCGUCACACCAUGGGAGUGGGUUGCAAAAGAAGUAGGUAGCUUAACCUUCGGGAGGGCGCUUACCACUUUGUGAUUCAUGACUGGGGUGAAGUCGUAACAAGGUAAGCGUAGCGAG